UACGGGGGGUGCGAGCGUUGUCCGGAAUCACUGGGCGUAAAGGGCGCGUAGGUGGUUUGAUAAGGGUGUGGUGAAAGUCCGGAGCUCAACUCCGGAUCUGCCGUGCCGACUGUCAAACUCGAGGGCUGUAGAGGCAGACGGAAUUCCGGGUGUAGCGGUGGAAUGCGUAGAGAUCCGGAGGAAGACCGGUGGCGAAGGCGGCUCACUGGACUGGUACUGACGCUGAGGCGCGAAAGCGUGGGGAGCAAACGGG
RNAcentral lists this ribosomal RNA (253 nucleotides) under uncultured bacterium. Its description in RNAcentral is "partial 16S ribosomal RNA". It matches the Rfam family "Bacterial small subunit ribosomal RNA", at positions 524 to 776 of the family's 1533-position model. The record is from RNAcentral.